Acipenser ruthenus (sterlet) is the source of this 374-nucleotide long non-coding RNA. RefSeq lists it as uncharacterized. The record is from RefSeq and is a predicted model, not a curated record. Lineage: Eukaryota; Metazoa; Chordata; Actinopteri; Acipenseriformes; Acipenseridae. The transcript is spliced from 3 exons.
GUCUGUGAGGAUGAGAAGGUCUCCACAGUCUGGAGUCUGGUCUCUGACAGGUUCAACAUAACUGUCAAUCAACAGGGACUCCUCUACAAAGGCAAGGCGCUGGCAGGCUACAACACUCUAAACAGGUCAAUCGAAGCGAAAUCUCAUCAGAAAUGACUGGACCAGCUACAGUGUACAGCGAGCAGGUUUCUUGUGUCUCUCACUGAGAAGCACAGGAGCUGGGACGGUUCAAUGAAGGCCCUGCACACUCACACUCGCCCGCCCCGCCCCGCCGCUCUCGCUCUCCAGCCAGGGAAUGCGAGCGUCUGGAUCCUCAUCGGAAAACUGUAGGAAGGAGCCUGAGCGCCGCAGCACCUGGAGAGCCUCGCACAGCA